GCAGGGAUAGCCAAGCUAGGUCAACGGCGCAGGACUUAAGAUUCUGUCUCGAAGGGGUCCGAGGGUUCAAAUCCCUCUCCCUGCA
RNAcentral lists this transfer RNA (85 nucleotides) under Euryarchaeota archaeon CG_4_9_14_3_um_filter_38_12. RNAcentral describes it as "tRNA-Leu". It matches the Rfam family "tRNA". Rfam says of the family: Transfer RNA (tRNA) molecules are approximately 80 nucleotides in length. The record is from RNAcentral. RNAcentral also lists the same sequence under 1 other name. Lineage: Archaea; Methanobacteriati; Methanobacteriota.